This 405-nucleotide ribosomal RNA is filed under the name uncultured bacterium. RNAcentral's name for it is "bacterial SSU rRNA". It matches the Rfam family "Bacterial small subunit ribosomal RNA", at positions 355 to 776 of the family's 1533-position model. The record is from RNAcentral.
UGAGGAAUCUUCCACAAUGGGGGCAACCCUGAUGGAGCAACGCCGCGUGCAGGAUGAAGGCCUUAGGGUUGUAAACUGCUUUUAUUAGCGAAGAAUAUGACGGUAACUAAUGAAUAAGGGUCGGCUAACUACGUGCCAGCAGCCGCGGUCAUACGUAGGACCCAAGCGUUAUCCGGAGUGACUGGGCGUAAAGAGUUGCGUAGGCGGUCUGUAAAGCGAAUAGUGAAAGCUCAUGGCUCAACCAUGAAUACAUUGUUCGAACUCACAGACUCGAGAAUGGUAGAGGUAGCUGGAAUUUCUAGUGUAGGAGUGAAAUCCGUAGAUAUUAGAAGGAACACCAAUGGCGUAGGCAGGCUACUGGACCAUUUCUGACGCUGAGGCACGAAAGCGUGGGGAGCGAACCGG